UGNNNNUCGAACGCUGAAGCCCGAGCUUGCUCGGGUGGAUGAGUGGCGAACGGGUGAGUAACACGUGAGUAACCUGCCCAUGUCUCUGGGAUAAGCGCUGGAAACGGCGUCUAAUACUGGAUACGAGCAUCCACUGCAUGGUGAGGUGUUGGAAAGAUUUAUCGGACAUGGAUGGACUCGCGGCCUAUCAGCUUGAUGGUGAGGUAAUGGCUCACCAUGGCGACNACGGGUAGUCGGCCUGAGAGGGUGACCGGCCACACUGGGACUGAGACACGGCCCANACUCCUACGGGAGGCAGCAGUGGGGAAUAUUGCACAAUGGGCGCAAGCCUGAUGCAGCAACGCCGCGUGAGGGAUGACGGCCUUCGGGUUGUAAACCUCUUUUGUCAGGGAAGAAGCCUUUGGGUGACGGUACCUGGAGAAAAAGCACCGGCUAACUACGUGCCAGCAGCCGCGGUAAUACGUAGGGUGCAAGCGUUGUCCGGAAUUAUUGGGCGUAAAGAGCUCGUAGGCGGCUUGUCGCGUCUGCUGUGAAAACCCGAGGCUCAACCUCGGGCCUGCAGUGGGUACGGGCAGGCUAGAGUGCGGUAGGGGAGAUUGGAAUUCCUGGUGUAGCGGUGGAAUGCGCAGAUAUCAGGAGGAACACCGAUGGCGAAGGCAGAUCUCUGGGCCGCUACUGACGCUGAGGAGCGAAAGCAUGGGGAGCGAACAGGAUUAGAUACCCUGGUAGUCCAUGCCGUAAACGUUGGGAACUAGAUGUAGGGCCUGUUCCACGGGUUCUGUGUCGUANCUAACGCAUUAAGUUCCCCGCCUGGGGAGUACGGCCGCAAGGCUAAAACUCAAAGGAAUUGACGGGGGCCCGC
Molecule: ribosomal RNA, 862 nt
Filed under: Leucobacter chironomi
Lineage: Bacteria; Bacillati; Actinomycetota; Actinomycetes; Micrococcales; Microbacteriaceae
Description: bacterial SSU rRNA
Rfam family: Bacterial small subunit ribosomal RNA
Source: RNAcentral